This 775-nucleotide ribosomal RNA is filed under the name Curvularia ravenelii. RNAcentral describes it as "LSU rRNA". It matches the Rfam family "Eukaryotic large subunit ribosomal RNA", at positions 63 to 855 of the family's 3401-position model. The record is from RNAcentral. Lineage: Eukaryota; Fungi; Ascomycota; Dothideomycetes; Pleosporales; Pleosporaceae.
AACCAACAGGGAUUGCCCUAGUAACGGCGAGUBAAGCGGCAACAGCUCAAAUUUGAAAUCUGGCUCUUUUAGGGUCCGAGUUGUAAUUUGCAGAGGGCGCUUUGGCUUUGGUAGCGGUCCAAGUUCCUUGGAACAGGACGUCACAGAGGGUGAGAAUCCCGUACGUGGUCGCUAGCUAUUGCCGUGUAAAGCCCCUUCGACGAGUCGAGUUGUUUGGGAAUGCAGCUCUAAAUGGGAGGUAAAUUUCUUCUAAAGCUAAAUAUUGGCCAGAGACCGAUAGCGCACAAGUAGAGUGAUCGAAAGAUGAAAAGCACUUUGGAAAGAGAGUCAAACAGCACGUGAAAUUGUUGAAAGGGAAGCGCUUGCAGCCAGACUUGCUUGCAGUUGCUCAUCCGGGCUUUUGCCCGGUGCACUCUUCUGUAGGCAGGCCAGCAUCAGUUUGGGCGGUGGGAUAAAGGUCUCUGACACGUUCCUUCCUUCGGGUUGGCCAUAUAGGGGAGACGUCAUACCACCAGCCUGGACUGAGGUCCGCGCAUCUGCUAGGAUGCUGGCGUAAUGGCUGUAAGCGGCCCGUCUUGAAACACGGACCAAGGAGUCUAACAUCUAUGCGAGUGUUUGGGUGUCAAGCCCGAGCGCGUAAUGAAAGUGAACGGAGGUGGGAACCCGCAAGGGCGCACCAUCGACCGAUCCUGAAGUUUACGGAAGGAUUUGAGUAAGAGCAUGGCUGUUGGGACCCGAAAGAUGGUGAACUAUGCUUGAAUAGGGUUGAAGCCAG